UACGUAGGCAGCGAGCGUUGUUCGGAGUUACUGGGCGUAAAGGGUGUGUAGGCGGUCCUCUAAGUUUGGUGUGAAAUCUCCCGGCUCAACCGGGAGGGUGCGCCGAAAACUGGAGGGCUAGAGUGCGGGAAGGGAGAGUAGAAUUCCUGGUGUAGCGGUGAAAUGCGUAGAUAUCAGGAGGAACACCUAUUGCGAAGGCAGCUCGCUGGGACGUAACUGACGCUGAGACGCGAAAGCGUGGGGAGCAAACAGG
Molecule: ribosomal RNA, 253 nt
Filed under: uncultured bacterium
Lineage: Bacteria
Description: partial 16S ribosomal RNA
Rfam family: Bacterial small subunit ribosomal RNA
Source: RNAcentral